RNAcentral lists this ribosomal RNA (301 nucleotides) under uncultured bacterium. Its description in RNAcentral is "partial 16S ribosomal RNA". It matches the Rfam family "Bacterial small subunit ribosomal RNA", at positions 509 to 807 of the family's 1533-position model. The record is from RNAcentral.
CAGUAGCCGCGGUAAUACGAAGGGUGCAAGCGUUACUCGGAUUUACUGGGCGUAAAGCGUGCGUAGGCGGCUUUUUAAGUCGGAUGUGAAAUCCCUGAGCUUAACUUAGGAAUUGCAUUCGAUACUGGGAAGCUAGAGUAUGGGAGAGGAUGGUAGAAUUCCAGGUGUAGCGGUGAAAUGCGUAGAGAUCUGGAGGAAUACCGAUGGCGAAGGCAGCCAUCUGGCCUAAUACUGACGCUGAGGUACGAAAGCAUGGGGAGCAAACAGGAUUAGAUACCCCGGUAGUCCCUGUCUCUUAUAC